This 497-nucleotide ribosomal RNA is filed under the name uncultured bacterium. RNAcentral's name for it is "partial 16S ribosomal RNA". It matches the Rfam family "Bacterial small subunit ribosomal RNA", at positions 28 to 507 of the family's 1533-position model. The record is from RNAcentral.
GAUGAACGCUGGCGGCGUGCCUAAUACAUGCAAGUCGAGCGAACAGACGAGGAGCUUGCUCCUCUGACGUUAGCGGCGGACGGGUGAGUAACACGUGGAUAACCUACCUAUAAGACUGGGAUAACUUUGGGAAACCGGAGCUAAUACCGGAUAAUAUAUUGAACCGCAUGGUUCAAUAGUGAAAGACGGUUUUGCUGUCACUUAUAGAUGGAUCCGCGCCGCAUUAGCUAGUUGGUAAGGUAACGGCUUACCAAGGCAACGAUGCGUAGCCGACCUGAGAGGAUGAGCGGCGACCCUGGAACUGAGACGCGGUCCAGACUCCUAAGGGAGGCAGCAGGAGGGAAUCUUACGCAAUGGGCGAAAGCCUGACGGAGCAACGCCGCGUGAGGGAUGAAGGUCUUCGGAUCGUAAAACUCUGUUAUUAGCGAAGAACAAAUGUGUAAGUAACUAUGCACGGCUUGACGGUAACUAAUCAGAACGCCACGGCUAACUACGUG